UGCCAUUCACCGGUCUUGUAGAGAGUUUUGCGUGCAUUCCCUGCUGCUAACAACUGCAAGCACGUCGCAAUUCCUCACCGUCUCUUCAGCAAGUUUUCCUCUUCUUUCACUAGAUGUAAGAAAACUUCACUUUGGUAGCAACUUUAAUGGAUGGCAUUUCCAACAAGUGCAAGACCUUUGUGGGCUUAUCGUCACCAGCUUGACAGAAGUGGGCAGUUGAGUGACCAUGACCACGCCAGAUAUGAUUGAUAUUAUGGAUAACAGAAACAAACAGCUACAAUUAUGUAUUUAGCUAACUGUCGUGGAGUGUGAAGUUUUUUGUAUGCUAACAAAUUUAUCCUUGUUUAACUUUGUUAAAUCGUGAAGGGUUUCGAUUCUGAUUCUAAGUGCUAAGAAUAUUUUAGUAAACCCCAAGAACACUUUGUUCUUUCAUUGAAUUACAACAGCUUGUGGAAUAGCUGUUAGCCUGGAGACAUCAAGACUUCAGCUCUCUGUUAGUAACAUGCUGACAUUAAUGUGCUAGCAAUUAAUGUUUGUGAAAUAAACAACACAAUUCAUUGUGUUAAAGUUA
This is a long non-coding RNA of Micropterus salmoides (largemouth bass), 571 nucleotides long. RefSeq lists it as uncharacterized. Lineage: Eukaryota; Metazoa; Chordata; Actinopteri; Centrarchiformes; Centrarchidae. The transcript has 2 exons. The record is from RefSeq and is a predicted model, not a curated record.